Molecule: ribosomal RNA, 481 nt
Filed under: Salmonella enterica subsp. enterica serovar Enteritidis
Lineage: Bacteria; Pseudomonadati; Pseudomonadota; Gammaproteobacteria; Enterobacterales; Enterobacteriaceae
Description: partial 23S ribosomal RNA
Rfam family: Bacterial large subunit ribosomal RNA
Source: RNAcentral
GUUGGGUAACACUAACUGGAGGACCGAACCGACUAAUGUUGAAAAAUUAGCGGAUGACCUGUGGCUGGGGGUGAAAGGCCAAUCAAACCGGGAGAUAGCUGGUUCUCCCCGAAAGCUAUUUAGGUAGCGCCUCGUGAAUUCAUCUCCGGGGGUAGAGCACUGUUUCGGCUAGGGGGCCAUCCCGGCUUACCAACCCGAUGCAAACUGCGAAUACCGGAGAAUGUUAUCACGGGAGACACACGGCGGGUGCUAACGUCCGUCGUGAAGAGGGAAACAACCCAGACCGCCAGCUAAGGUCCCAAAGUCAUGGUUAAGUGGGAAACGAUGUGGGAAGGCCCAGACAGCCAGGAUGUUGGCUUAGAAGCAGCCAUCAUUUAAAGAAAGCGUAAUAGCUCACUGGUCGAGUCGGCCUGCGCGGAAGAUGUAACGGGGCUAAACCAUGCACCGAAGCUGCGGCAGCGACACUGUGUGUUGUUGGGUA